GGUUAAGCGACUAAGCGUACACGGUGGAUGCCCUGGCAGUCAGAGGCGAUGAAGGACGUGCUAAUCUGCGAUAAGCGUCGGUGAGGUGAUAUGAACCGUUAUAACCGGCGAUUUCCGAAUGGGGAAACCCAGUGUGAUUCGUCACACUAUCAUUAACUGAAUCCAUAGGUUAAUGAGGCGAACCGGGGGAACUGAAACAUCUAAGUACCCCGAGGAAAAGAAAUCAACCGAGAUUCCCCCAGUAGCGGCGAGCGAACGGGGAG
Molecule: ribosomal RNA, 263 nt
Filed under: Escherichia coli
Lineage: Bacteria; Pseudomonadati; Pseudomonadota; Gammaproteobacteria; Enterobacterales; Enterobacteriaceae
Also listed under: 1 other name
Description: partial 23S ribosomal RNA
Rfam family: Bacterial large subunit ribosomal RNA
Source: RNAcentral